GGAAUCUGCCUAUUAGGUGGGGGACAACAUUCCGAAAGGAAUGCUAAUACCGCAUACGCCCUACGGGGGAAAGCAGGGGAUCUUCGGACCUUGCGCUAAUAGAUGAGCCUAAGUCAGAUUAGCUAGUUGGUGGGGUAAAGGCCUACCAAGGCGACGAUCUGUAGCGGGUCUGAGAGGAUGAUCCGCCACACUGGGACUGAGACACGGCCCAGACUCCUACGGGAGGCAGCAGUGGGGAAUAUUGGACAAUGGGCGAAAGCCUGAUCCAGCCAUGCCGCGUGUGUGAAGAAGGCCUUUUGGUUGUAAAGCACUUUAAGCGAGGAGGAGGCUACUUGGAUUAAUACUCUAGGAUAUGUGGACGUUACUCGCAGAAUAAGCACCGGCUAACUCUGUGCCAGCAGCCGCGGUAAUACAGAGGGUGCGAGCGUUAAUCGGAUUUACUGGGCGUAAAGCGUGCGUAGGCGGCUUCUUUAAGUCGGGAUGUGAAAUCCCUGAGCUUAACUUAGGAAUUGCAUUCGAUACUGGGGAAGCUAGAGUAUGGCAGAGGAUGGUAGAAUUCC
This 560-nucleotide ribosomal RNA is filed under the name bacterium. RNAcentral describes it as "bacterial SSU rRNA". It matches the Rfam family "Bacterial small subunit ribosomal RNA", at positions 121 to 670 of the family's 1533-position model. The record is from RNAcentral.